This 497-nucleotide ribosomal RNA is filed under the name uncultured bacterium. RNAcentral describes it as "partial 16S ribosomal RNA". It matches the Rfam family "Bacterial small subunit ribosomal RNA", at positions 28 to 507 of the family's 1533-position model. The record is from RNAcentral.
GAUGAACGCUGGCGGCGUGCCUAAUACAUGCAAGUCGAGCGAAAAGACGAGGAGCUUGCUCCUCUGACGUUAGCGGCGGGCGGGUGAGUAACAUGUGGAUAACCCACCUAUAAGACUGGGAUAACUUCGGGGAUCCGGUACUACUACCGGAUACCAUAUUGAACCGGAGGGUUCAAUAGUGACAGCGGGUUUUGAUGUCACUUAUAGAUGGAUCCGCGCCGUAUUAGCUAGUUGGUACGGUAACGGCUUACCAAGGCAACGAUGCGUAGGCGACCUGAGAGGGUGAUCGGCCACACUGGAACUGAGACACGGUCCAGACUCCUACGGGAGGCAGCAGUAGGGAAUCUUCCGCAAUGGGCGAAAGCCUGACGGAGCAACGCCGCGGGAGUGAUGAAGGGCUUCGGAUCGGAAAACUCUGUUAGUAGGGAAGAACAAAUGUGUAAGUAACUAUGCACGUCUUGACGGUACCUAAUCAAAAAGCAACGGCUAACUACGUG